CGCCCCUUUAUGCCCGCGCCGCGCCGCCCGCCCCACGCCGGCGCGCCCACCCCCGCUUCCCCAGCGGGCCCCGCCGGCAAUAAUUACCCGUGGCCCCGCGCCUCUCCCCGCCCCGAAUUGGGGGGGGGGGCGGGGGCGCAAAGGGCGAGCGGGAGUCCGCGCGAGGGGCGCGACCGCGAGCAAGGUGCAACGGGCGCCGCUCCCGGACGUCGGAGAAAAUGCACCUGUUCUCUGCUCCCAGGGGCAGCUGGGGAUGUUUCCGCGACAUGAGUGACCUGCGCGCCGCCUUCUAUUCGGCAUCCGCGCGCGCUCCUGGAAGAAGCCGCAGAGCCGGGGUGCGUGGUGGAAGGAAGGCGGCCACCCAACUUUCCUGAGUUCGGCGCGGGAACUUUGCAUGCCCUCGCGGGGUCCGCCCGCCAGGAAGCACCUGCUUUCUCUUCUCUCCCACUCGGAGGCCGAGAAGAGUAACUGACAUUACUAGAGCCGAUUAGGAAUUGGCCGAAAUUGUACUGGGGGGCAGGGUGGGGAGAGCUAGGUUGGAACUUGGAAUGUUGGGAGAGAGGGACUUGUGGUGAACUUCCCCUUGAAGUGUGUAAGGAAGAUGCUCCCGUGAAGAGCCCCCCGACGCGCGCAACCUGAAUGGCGGGUCCCGCAGGCCCCAGUCCAGGACGCCUUCGAGGAAGACAAAGGAGAUGUAUGGGAUGCGUUGGAACUUUGCUCUCCUCUCCCUCUUACUGUUAUCUUUUAACCAUUUCAAACCAGUACUUGUUCUUUAAUUCGAUCGUGCAGAAUUACUUGGUGAACGUCAAAUGACAGUUGUGAUUGUUCUUCCAAAAGAGAGAGAGAAACACCAAGUACGAUGUGCCUCAAUCCUGGCGCACCUGCUCCUGUGAUCAAUGACUAAGAUCCUCACAGAGUAGAUCCAUUCUCAUCUAGUGAUCAUCCCUGCACUGCUGUUUCAUACAAACUUAAAAUCAAUAAAGUUUUAAAUUUUGCAGAUGAAGUUACUUUUAUUAAUUUCCUUAAAAUGUAAGCACAACUAAUUUAUUCCAGUGUUUUAUUAAAUAGUCCCACCUCCAGCUAGCAUAUAUUAUUGUGGUUAGUAAGAUUAAGCCAUCAGGCUGGAACAAGACAUUGCUAUUCUGUUACAUGUGGCAUCUACAUUUUUCAAUAAAUGUGAAAUAACAAACAAUGACACUCCAGGUGUUAAAAAAAUUAUACCACGCAACCACACAGUCACACUCUCUUCCAGCUAAAUUAAAAAGCUUCUAUAUCUGCACGCAGGAUCACAUUUCCCUUCUAGAGCUGAAGAUUAGAGUGUCUGCUGCUUGCAGCUUGUUAAGUUUCAAUUAGAAAUGCUUCAUGGGUCUCUUGGAAAACAGCUUAGGCUAAGUGUUCACUUAUUGAUGUAUGGUCUAUUUGCUCGGGGCAGAUUGUAUUUAUUGCUACCUUCAUUUAACCAACAGUUUUAAAAAAAGAGAGCGAGUGAGAGAGAGAGAUAGAGAGAGGGACUUUUAGAGCAGUGAUUAAAAAGGACCAAGGUGACUGAAUGCUUCAUAUCUUAAGUUUUUCUCUCUCUGAAGGGGACAUAAAGCACAUGUAUCUCCAGUUGGACAUCAUAGCUUUCAGCAUUUGCAGGGAUGUCCCCAGGUGAUAAUGUAACCCAAUGAUAAAAAUUACAUGGUAAUUAAACUUUAUUUCCAGAA
Long non-coding RNA from Balaenoptera ricei (Rice's whale), 1706 nucleotides. RefSeq lists it as uncharacterized. The transcript is spliced from 2 exons. Lineage: Eukaryota; Metazoa; Chordata; Mammalia; Artiodactyla; Balaenopteridae. The record is from RefSeq and is a predicted model, not a curated record.